ACGGGAGGCAGCAGUGGGGAAUCUUGCACAAUGGGCGAAAGCCUGAUGCAGCAACGCCGCGUGCGGGAAGAAGGCCCUAGGGUUGUAAACCGCUUUCAGCAGGGAAGAAAAUGACGGUACCUGUAGAAGAAGGUGCGGCCAACUACGUGCCAGCAGCCGCGGUGACACGUAGGCACCAAGCGUUGUCCGGAUUUAUUGGGCGUAAAGAGCUCGUAGGCGGUUCGGUAAGUCGGGUGUGAAAACUCUGGGCUCAACCCAGAGACGCCACCCGAUACUGCUGUGACUAGAGUGCGGUAGGGGAGCGGGGAAUUCCUGGUGUAGCGGUGAAAUGCGCAGAUAUCAGGAGGAACACCAGUGGCGAAGGCGCCGCUCUGGGCCGUGACUGACGCUGAGGAGCGAAAGCGUGGGUAGCAAACAGGAUUAGAUACCCUGGUA
Molecule: ribosomal RNA, 435 nt
Filed under: uncultured Acidimicrobiales bacterium
Lineage: Bacteria; Bacillati; Actinomycetota; Acidimicrobiia; Acidimicrobiales
Description: bacterial SSU rRNA
Rfam family: Bacterial small subunit ribosomal RNA
Source: RNAcentral